RNAcentral lists this ribosomal RNA (482 nucleotides) under uncultured bacterium. RNAcentral describes it as "partial 16S ribosomal RNA". It matches the Rfam family "Bacterial small subunit ribosomal RNA", at positions 30 to 507 of the family's 1533-position model. The record is from RNAcentral.
AUUGAACGCUGGCGGCAUGCUUUACACAUGCAAGUCGAGCGGUAACAGGCCGCAAGGUGCUGACGAGUGGCGCACGGGUGAGUAAUGCAUCGGAACGUGCCCAGUCGUGGGGGAUAACUACUCGAAAGAGUAGCUAAUACCGCAUACGAUCUAUGGAUGAAAGCGGGGGACCGUAAGGCCUCGCGCGAUUGGAGCGGCCGAUGUCAGAUUAGGUAGUUGGUGGGGUAAAGGCUCACCAAGCCAACGAUCUGUAGCUGGUCUGAGAGGACGACCAGCCACACUGGGACUGAGACACGGCCCAGACUCCUACGGGAGGCAGCAGUGGGGAAUUUUGGACAAUGGGCGCAAGCCUGAUCCAGCAAUGCCGCGUGCAGGAAGAAGGCCUUCGGGUUGUAAACUGCUUUUGUACGGAACGAAACGGCUCUGGUUAAUACCCGGGGCUAAUGACGGUACCGUAAGAAUAAGCACCGGCUAACUACGUG